Molecule: long non-coding RNA, 490 nt
Organism: Micropterus salmoides (largemouth bass)
Lineage: Eukaryota; Metazoa; Chordata; Actinopteri; Centrarchiformes; Centrarchidae
Exons: 2
Source: RefSeq, a predicted model, not a curated record
CGUUACGAUGUCGGCCUUUAAGCGAGCAACGGGCGAGAGUUUACUGCAAACACUGGAAGCGAAAAUACAUUUACUUUGGUCUUUUCCAGAUCCCAUUUACCCGAGAGACUGGCGCCAACCGAGAGACCCAUCUGAUGCUCUUGCUGCAUCAAGUAGCAGCGUAGAUGAAGAUCUAGAUUUGGAUGUAGCCAACCAAUUUAUUUUAUCAUUAUUUAUGUUUUUAAUACCGUAUGUUGUUAAAAUUGUUUGUAUUUUCAUAUAUAUAUAUAUGAACUGUUUUGUAUUUAUAAUAUUUUAGCAAUAAUUCCUUCAAUGUUGUAGCCUAUUAUCUUAAGUUGCCUACGUUGUAAUCCUUUUUCUUAAUAAAAUCUUUAUAUUUAAUUUGUUUGGACAGAUUACCAUUUAUUUAGAACCUGUUAUGUUUGAGUAAAAACAGUCCUUUAGCCACUAUUCUGUUGUCUAUUAAAGGUAGAUAUGUAGUCAUUUAAAA